RNAcentral lists this ribosomal RNA (253 nucleotides) under uncultured bacterium. RNAcentral's name for it is "partial 16S ribosomal RNA". It matches the Rfam family "Bacterial small subunit ribosomal RNA", at positions 524 to 776 of the family's 1533-position model. The record is from RNAcentral.
UACGGGGGGGGCAAGCGUUGUUCGGAAUUACUGGGCGUAAAGGGCUCGUAGGCGGCCAACUAAGUCAGAUGUGAAAUCCCUCGGCUUAACCGGGGAACUGCGUCUGAUACUGGAUGGCUUGAGUUUGGGAGAGGGAUGCGGAAUUCCAGGUGUAGCGGUGAAAUGCGUAGAUAUCAGGAGGAACACCGGUGGCGAAGGCGGCUACCUGGACAGAAACUGACGCUGAGGCGCGAAAGCUAGGGGAGCAAACAGG